Long non-coding RNA from Cornus florida, 1166 nucleotides. RefSeq lists it as uncharacterized. The transcript is spliced from 5 exons. Lineage: Eukaryota; Viridiplantae; Streptophyta; Magnoliopsida; Cornales; Cornaceae. The record is from RefSeq and is a predicted model, not a curated record.
CAUCUCUCUCUUAUCUCCUCUCAUUUCCUUUUCAUUUUUCAUUUUUCUUGAGGCUUUGAUUUUCUCUUCCAUUUUCCGGCUAAUCGGUCGGGUUUCCGGUCUAGGUUCCUUGACGAAAAACGUUCCUCUCAUCGUUCUCUAUCACAUAGUCAAAGAGUUUAUUUUUCAGAGGAUCGGUGAUUAUUUUAUGAAUUUUUGAACAUUUUGGAUCUAAGGCUUCGGAUGGGGUUUUGGGCCACUUAGAGUCGGAUGCCGGUGCUGACCCUUUGGAACAGUAGAAUCUCCUCGUCGACGGCUACGUUUUCACCAAACAGUUUUCCGUUCCGCCGCCGUUGACCGGCGUUGACUUUUGUUGACCUGCGGUUGACCGCGUUGACCGGCGUUGACUUUUUCGGGCGGGGAUGUAUUUUGGCUACUUUUGAGGUCACGGGAAGGAAAUGGCGGACGGCGUUCCUCUACAGGUCUUGAUGGGUGCCAAUAGGCCAAAUACAAGUUUGUGGAAACCAGUAUUACAACAGUAAACAGCACCAUACGAUAGGAAAUGGGUUUAUAAAGGUGGUGAGUCAAGGAAGUGAAGAUGAUUAUGAUUUACAACUGCAGAGAGGCUAUGAAAAUGGAGGACAGUGAAAGAUGGUGCUCAGAACCAAUCCUGCAACAAACAGUUGGAUUCCCAGCGUCAAAGACGACCAGGAUGUUUGUGCCCUUCGAAGCCUAAUAGAAGUGGAAGUUGUUAGAUCAUUCAAGAGAUUGAAGCUUGUAAAUGAGAUGGCGUAAUCGAGAUAAACAGUGUGAAGCUUCUUAUAUCGUUCUAUAAUACCCAACAUAUGCCCAGUUAAAUACCAAAAGAUGCGGUGAUAGAUGCAUAAACAGAAAGGAAGGAACAUAGAGAGAGAGAGAGAGAGAGAGAGAGAGAAUAAGGUCACAUGUUAGGGUUUUUGGGUUUAUAAGAAUGGGGAGAGUCGUUAGGGACAUUCCCAGGUUUUCAAAAAAAGAGGACAGCAAGUGAUAGUCAAGUUUUCUGUCUAAUGGCUAGUCCGUAAUGACAAAUUGACAGGGGUGUCAAGUGAAAAUUGGUCAAUAGUACACGGGGGAGAUACGUAAAAUGUACAGGGGGUGAUAUGCAAAGAUUUUACCGUCCAGGGUUUUCUUUUUUGCAAUUAAGCCAA